GCUGCGCUCAGCUAAUCGUUCUUGUUGCACAGCGUUCCCACCUUCACGGGUGGGGGGAGGGAUGCCACAAAACGCCGGUGGUGUUUCCCCCUAGAGCUGUGUUGAGCAACACAAACGGCUACAUUCUUUAACCAACACUUGCUUUCCAAUAACCAAUUGGUCACGAUCCGUGCAACACGCCGUGACAAGUCAACAUGACAACUCUCAACGACGGAUAUCUUGGCUCUCGCAACGAUUAAGAACGCAGCGAAAUGCGAUACGUAGUGUGAAUUGCAGAAUUCCGUGAACCAUCGAAUUUUUGAACGCAUAUUGCGCUCAAGGCCUCGGCUAAGAGCAUGUCUGCCUCAGCGUCGGGUUCCCCGUCUCCCCCUCUCAGAUUUAAUCUGGAAGCGUGGGAGGACCGAUGGCAGUCUGGGCAUUUAUUUGCACGGUCUGCCCAAAUGACAUGUGGUGUUUCCUUGUGUGGGCGAGAUCAUUCACUUGGUCCCGUCCUAUCCAAGCCGCACUCGAGUAUUCAUCUUGUAUGUCUCUCGACCUCGACGGUUUGCUCAAUGAACGUGACUUAAACCUCACGCACCCCUCCACAUAGCAUUGGAAACCCAACACUUCUCGACUGAGCUCAGGCAAGAUUACCCGCUGAACUUAAGCAUAUCA
RNAcentral lists this ribosomal RNA (654 nucleotides) under uncultured Chlorophyta. RNAcentral's name for it is "eukaryotic LSU rRNA". The stretch from base 200 to 353 matches the Rfam family "5.8S ribosomal RNA". Lineage: Eukaryota; Viridiplantae; Chlorophyta. The record is from RNAcentral.